RNAcentral lists this non-coding RNA (148 nucleotides) under Chlorocebus sabaeus (green monkey). Lineage: Eukaryota; Metazoa; Chordata; Mammalia; Primates; Cercopithecidae. The record is from Rfam by way of RNAcentral.
GCCAGGUAUGGUGGUGCAUGCCUGUAGUCCCAGCUAUUCAGGAGGCUGAGGUGGGAGGAUCGCCUGUGCCCAGGAGUUCAAGGCUGCAGUGAGCUGUGAUCACACCACAGUGCUCCAGCCUGGGCAACAAAGCAAGACUCCAUCUCUG